AGACCUCUGUGAUGGCCGGCACUGGGCUCUGACCUCCUCUGAGGACACCGUGCGCCCUGGGACUUUGACACCCAGGGAAUCUGAGGGGCCC
Molecule: small nucleolar RNA, 91 nt
Filed under: Ornithorhynchus anatinus (platypus)
Lineage: Eukaryota; Metazoa; Chordata; Mammalia; Monotremata; Ornithorhynchidae
Source: RNAcentral